This 402-nucleotide ribosomal RNA is filed under the name uncultured prokaryote. RNAcentral's name for it is "bacterial SSU rRNA". It matches the Rfam family "Bacterial small subunit ribosomal RNA", at positions 355 to 774 of the family's 1533-position model. The record is from RNAcentral.
UGGGGAAUAUUAGGCAAUGGGCGAAAGCCUGACCCAGCAACGCCGCGUGAAGGAAGAAGGUUUUCGGAUCGUAAACUUCUAUCCUUGGUGAAGAUAAUGACGGUAGCCAAGAAGGAAGCCCCGGCUAACUACGUGCCAGCAGCCGCGGUAAUACGUAGGGGGCAAGCGUUGUCCGGAAUGAUUGGGCGUAAAGGGCGCGUAGGCGGCCUGGUAGGUCUGGAGUGAAAGUCCUGCUUUUAAGGUGGGAAUUGCUUUGGAUACUGUCGGGCUUGAGUGCAGGAGAGGUAAGGGGAAUUCCCGGUGUAGCGGUGAAAUGCGUAGAGAUCGGGAGGAACACCAGUGGCGAAGGCGACUUACUGGACUGUAACUGACGCUGAGGCGCGAAAGCGUGGGGAGCGAACA